UAUAUUCAGAGUUUGAUCCUAGCUCAGGAUGAAUGCUGGCGGCGUGGAUAAGGCAUGCAAGUCGAACGGGUCGCAAGACCAGUGGCAGACGAAGUAGUAAUAUACAGGUACGCACCGAAGAGUCUGGCAUAGCUAGCCGAAAGGUUAGGUAAUUCCGGAUGGCGUGGUGACACUAAAGGGGCAACCCGCUCUUUGAGCGGCCUGUACAGCAUCAGCUAGUUGGUAGGGUAACGGCCUACCAAGGCUAUGACGCUUAGGGGAGCUGAGAGGCUGACCCCCACUGAUAGCACUGAGACACGGGCUAUACACCUACGGGUGGCUGCAGUCGAGAAUCUUCCACAAUGGGCGAAAGCCUGAUGGAGCGACGCCGCGUGGUUGAUGAAGUCCUUCGGGACGUAAAAACCUUUUAUGAGGGAGGAAGUUAUUGACGUUACCUCAUGAAUAAGGGGCUCCUAACUCUGUGCCAGCAGGAGCGGUAAUACAGAGGCCCCGAGCAUUAUCCGGAAUCACUGGGCGUAAAGGGUGUGUAGGCGGUCGUGUUAGUCCUUCGUGAAAGACCCCGGGCUUAACCCGGGGGACGCGGCGGAAACGGCACGACUUUGAGGAUGUGAGAGGUAAAGGGAACUCAUGGUGUAGGGGUGAAAUCCGUUGAUAUCAUGGGGAACACCAAAUGCGAAGGCACUUUACUG
This 689-nucleotide ribosomal RNA is filed under the name Patescibacteria group bacterium. Its description in RNAcentral is "bacterial SSU rRNA". It matches the Rfam family "Bacterial small subunit ribosomal RNA", at positions 1 to 731 of the family's 1533-position model. The record is from RNAcentral.